GNNNNUCGAGCGGGGNNNNNNAGCUUGCUACNUNACCUAGCGGCGGACGGGUGAGUAAUGCUUAGGAAUCUGCCUAUUAGUGGGGGACAACAUUCCGAAAGGAAUGCUAAUACCGCAUACGCCCUACGGGGGAAAGCAGGGGAUCUUCGGACCUUGCGCUAAUAGAUGAGCCUAAGUCAGAUUAGCUAGUUGGUGGGGUAAAGGCCUACCAAGGCGACGAUCUGUAGCGGGUCUGAGAGGAUGAUCCGCCACACUGGGACUGAGACACGGCCCAGACUCCUACGGGAGGCAGCAGUGGGGAAUAUUGGACAAUGGGCGAAAGCCUGAUCCAGCCAUGCCGCGUGUGUGAAGAAGGCCUUUUGGUUGUAAAGCACUUUAAGCGAGGAGGAGGCUACUNANAUUAAUACUCUNGGAUAGUGGACGUUACUCGCANAAUAANCNCCGGCUAACUCUGUGCCANCANCCGCNGUAA
This 472-nucleotide ribosomal RNA is filed under the name Acinetobacter johnsonii. RNAcentral describes it as "partial 16S ribosomal RNA". It matches the Rfam family "Bacterial small subunit ribosomal RNA", at positions 57 to 523 of the family's 1533-position model. Lineage: Bacteria; Pseudomonadati; Pseudomonadota; Gammaproteobacteria; Moraxellales; Moraxellaceae. The record is from RNAcentral.